Molecule: ribosomal RNA, 529 nt
Filed under: uncultured bacterium
Lineage: Bacteria
Description: partial 16S ribosomal RNA
Rfam family: Bacterial small subunit ribosomal RNA
Source: RNAcentral
UGGGGAAUAUUGCACAAUGGGCGCAAGCCUGAUGCAGCCAUGCCGCGUGUGUGAAGAAGGCCUUCGGGUUGUAAAGCACUUUCAGCGAGGAGGAAGGUGGUGAACUUAAUACGUUCAUCAAUUGACGUUACUCGCAGAAGAAGCACCGGCUAACUCCGUGCCAGCAGCCGCGGUAAUACGGAGGGUGCAAGCGUUAAUCGGAAUUACUGGGCGUAAAGCGCACGCAGGCGGUUUGUUAAGUCAGAUGUGAAAUCCCCGGGCUCAACCUGGGAACUGCAUUUGAAACUGGCAAGCUAGAGUCUCGUAGAGGGGGGUAGAAUUCCAGGUGUAGCGGUGAAAUGCGUAGAGAUCUGGAGGAAUACCGGUGGCGAAGGCGGCCCCCCUGGACGAAGACUGACGCUCAGGUGCGAAAGCGUGGGGAGCAAACAGAUUAGAUACCCUGGUAGUCCACGCUGUAAAACGAUGUCGAUUUUGGAGGUUGUGCCCCUUGAGGCGUGGNUUCCGGAGCUAACGCGUUAAAUCGACCGCC